GACGAACGCUGGCGGCGUGCUUAACACAUGCAAGUCGAGCGGUAAGGCCCUUUCGGGGGUACACGAGCGGCGAACGGGUGAGUAACACGUGGGUGACCUGCCCUCAGCUCUGGGAUAAGCCUGGGAAACCGGGUCUAAUACUGGAUAUGACUCCAUGACGCAUGUUGUGGGGUGGAAAGCCUUGUGCGGCUGAGGAUGGGCCCGCGGCCUAUCAGCUUGUUGGUGGGGUGANGGCCUACCAAGGCGACGACGGGUAGCCGGCCUGAGAGGGCGACCGGCCACACUGGGACUGAGACACGGCCCAGACUCCUACGGGAGGCAGCAGUGGGGAAUCUUGCGCAGUGGGCGAAAGCCUGACGCAGCGACGCCGCGUGAGGGAUGACGGCCUCGGUUGUAA
Molecule: ribosomal RNA, 397 nt
Filed under: uncultured bacterium
Lineage: Bacteria
Description: bacterial SSU rRNA
Rfam family: Bacterial small subunit ribosomal RNA
Source: RNAcentral